This 297-nucleotide ribosomal RNA is filed under the name uncultured bacterium. RNAcentral's name for it is "partial 16S ribosomal RNA". It matches the Rfam family "Bacterial small subunit ribosomal RNA", at positions 790 to 1084 of the family's 1533-position model. The record is from RNAcentral.
GUAGUCCACGCUGUAAACGAUGAGUACUAGGUGUUGGGGGUAUCGACCCCCUCAGUGCCGAAGCUAACGCGAUAAGUACUCCGCCUGGGGACUACGGCCGCAAGGCUAAAACUCAAAGGAAUUGACGGGGCCCGCACAAGCAGCGGAGCGUGUGGUUUAAUUCGACGCAACGCGAAGAACCUUACCUGGGCUUGACAUGCGUGUGGUACGAGUGGGAAACCAUGAGGACCCGCAAGGGGAGCACGCACAGAUGCUGCAUGGCUGUCGUCAGCUCGUGCCGUGAGGUGUUGGGUUAAG